GACGAACGCUGGCGGCGUGCUUAACACAUGCAAGUCGAACGGAAAGGCCCUGCUUUUGUGGGGUGCUCGAGUGGCGAACGGGUGAGUAACACGUGAGUAACCUGCCCUUGACUUUGGGAUAACUUCAGGAAACUGGGGCUAAUACCGGAUAGGAGCUCCUGCUGCAUGGUGGGGGUUGGAAAGUUUCGGCGGUUGGGGAUGGACUCGCGGCUUAUCAGCUUGUUGGUGGGGUAGUGGCUUACCAAGGCUUUGACGGGUAGCGGGGCUGGGAGGGUGACCGGCCACAUUGGGACUGAGAUACGGCCCAGACUCCUACGGGAGGCAGCAGUGGGGAAUAUUGCACAAUGGGCGGAAGCCUGAUGCAGCAACGCCGCGUGCGGGAUGACGGCCUUCGGGUUGUAAACCGCUUUCGCCUGUGACGAAGCGUGAGUGACGGUAAUGGGUAAAGAAGCACCGGCUAACUACGUG
This 468-nucleotide ribosomal RNA is filed under the name uncultured bacterium. Its description in RNAcentral is "partial 16S ribosomal RNA". It matches the Rfam family "Bacterial small subunit ribosomal RNA", at positions 28 to 507 of the family's 1533-position model. The record is from RNAcentral.